GACGAUCGCUGGCGGCGUCCUUAACACAUGCAAGUCGAACGGAAAGGCCCUGCUUUUGUGGGGUGCUCGAGUGGCGAACGGGUGAGUAACACGUGAGUAACCUGCCCUUGACUUUGGGAUAACUUCAGGAAACUGGGGCUAAUACCGGAUAGGAGCUCCUGCUGCAUGGUGGGGGUUGGAAAGUUUCGGCGGUUGGGGAUGGACUCGCGGCUUAUCAGCUUGUUGGUGGGGUAGUGGCUUACCAAGGCUUUGACGGGUAGCCGGCCGGAGAGGGUGACCGGCCACAUAGGAACUGAGAUACGGCCCAGACUCCGGCUGGAGGCAGCAGUGGGGAGUAUUGCGCAAGGGGCGGAAGCCUGAUGCAGCAGCGCCGCGUGCGGGAUAUCGGCCUUCGGGUUGUAAACCGCUUUCGCCUGGGACGAAGCGUGAGUGACGGUGAUGGGUAAAGGAGCACCGGCGAACUACGU
RNAcentral lists this ribosomal RNA (467 nucleotides) under uncultured bacterium. RNAcentral's name for it is "partial 16S ribosomal RNA". It matches the Rfam family "Bacterial small subunit ribosomal RNA", at positions 28 to 506 of the family's 1533-position model. The record is from RNAcentral.